Molecule: ribosomal RNA, 301 nt
Filed under: uncultured bacterium
Lineage: Bacteria
Description: partial 16S ribosomal RNA
Rfam family: Bacterial small subunit ribosomal RNA
Source: RNAcentral
CAGUCGCCGCGGUAAUACGGAGGGGGCUAGCGUUGUUCGGAAUUACUGGGCGUAAAGCGUACGUAGGCGGUUUUGUAAGUUAGAGGUGAAAGCCCGGAGCUCAACUCCGGAAUUGCCUUUAAGACUGCAUCACUUGAAUCGUGGAGAGGUGAGUGGAAUUCCGAGUGUAGAGGUGAAAUUCGUAGAUAUUCGGAAGAACACCUGUGGCGAAGGCGGCUCACUGGACUGAUAUUGACGCUGAGGUGCGAAAGCGUGGGGAGCAAACAGGAUUAGAUACCCCAGUAGUCCCUGUCUCUUAUAC